UACUGUGGCCAGGCCUACAGCUCUUGACUGAACAUGCUGCUGUGUACAGCGUAUCAGGCAGACCACAAACCAAAACCAUCCUGCGAGGGAUUUUUAGGGUCUACAAAUACAGUAAAGGUGUUGCCUCCUUGAACCUUGAUAAAGUAUUGUCAUUUGGUCAAAAGCAGUCCACAGUAGUGUGUCCCAUAAGAACUCAGUCUCUUCCCCGUUCCGCACUGCUGUUUGAGCAAACAAUUAGCCAAAGUUUCCCAUUUCAGUGACCCUGAAAUUCUGUAUUCCAAUUAUUUGGAGCAAUCUGGGAUUGAAACAACAACAAAGCAGUCAUCCCACCACUUCCGGACCUGAAGAAAUGAAACCGCUGCGCUCAUGAGCCAUUUAGAAGUGGUAAUAGUCAAGAUUCAAGACGGUGUCAUUCAUUUAAAAGUCCAAACAAGGAUGUUCCACUCCCAACAAGGACAGCCUCAAAUCUGACAGCUCCAGAAGAAGUGGGUCCAUCCUCAGCAGCCCAAGUCCCUGCUCAUCAUCAUCCCACAUAAAUAGACUGUAUCUGGUCAACAGGAGACUGAGAGACAGACGGGGAUAAUGCAAUAAAGAAUAUUUGUAUGUAAAUCUCUUUUUUUAUAUAAGGUAGAGAUGGAAAGAGAUGUAUCUGAUAGGAGCAAGCUGUGAGAAGUGCAUUCAUGUGUAUUUUGUCCUCUCCAAGUUCCAUUUAUACAUAUCAUAUUUGCUUCUCUUCAUUUUCUCCAAGACACUCACUCUUGAUGAGAUGGUAAAAUAUAAAAAGUGAGAGGAGUGUUUUUUUUUUUUUUGCUAAAGCAUAAAAAACAUUUCAAUGGUUGAUUAGAUGGAAGUACACGAUAAUUAUAAUCUAGCCUCAACAUUGUGUGAGACCCACUGGUUGGCUGGUUAGCAGGCUGGCUGGUUAGUAGGGUAUGUAGGUUGUUGGAUCUCCAUCUUCAGAUCCUGUUUGAAUGGCAAUCUGGCAAUCAUGAGAUAAUCAUCCUUGAUGAUCACUACUGGAACCCUGUCCCAAAUAAUACACCAUUCACUGUACAGUGUAGUAGUAUUGACCAGGACCCAUUCAUUGGUGCAAUAUACUAUGUGCAAUUUGAAUGUGAGCUACUCCGGAUUUGAUUACCCUCAUCAAUUGCCACUUUCAAAAUAAAAAUAAACUGAAUAAUUCAGGAAGUUACCCCAUUCAUUCUGUUUGUAGUAUUACUACUGAGCAAUAAUUCCCCUCUGACCUCCUUUGAUCAAUUUCUGUUUGAUAUU
Long non-coding RNA from Esox lucius (northern pike), 1272 nucleotides. RefSeq lists it as uncharacterized. The transcript has 3 exons. Lineage: Eukaryota; Metazoa; Chordata; Actinopteri; Esociformes; Esocidae. The record is from RefSeq and is a predicted model, not a curated record.